AGUCUCCAUGCUUUCUCCAACAGAGCAGCAUGAAACACAUCUGCGGAUUAUGUAACAGCCUUGCUUUCUUCUCCUUCAUGACUCUUCUACUCCCAGGUACCUCUACUCUGGCUUGCUUUUGCUUUGAAGAAGCAGAGACUUCCAUGAACUAAUCUCUGCCACAGCCCCUUUUGCUUUGUUUCUCUCAAUUUAUAGAGAAACCUCUCCUGUUAGAAACUCCUAUGGGAGUCGCUGGAAUUUGUCAGUUUCUUCAAAACAAGAUGUCUCAAGAAGAGAUUGGAGUCUGCCUGAAAACAAGCUUUUGGCAAUGAAUUGAGGUGGGGGCAUAGUUCAAGUGCUGUCUUUUUACAAAAUUUUUCAGUUAUGGUAUUAGCACACAUUGUACACACUUUAAUUACCUAGAAAAGUAUAUAUACGCACCACAUUCAUCCCAAGUGUGACCCAUAUCACACUAACUUUGAAUCUAAGUCACGUACCUCACUUUCGGAGUAAUUUUCGGGGAAAUAAUUCCGGGUAGCUAGUAUUUUCGAUGUAUAAAUGUGUGUUGUAACUUUUCUGAAAACUUUUUGAAUCCGGAGUUCUAGGUUUGGUGUCUUCUGAACCUAAUGUUCUUCCAGGAUUUAGUAACUUAUUACCAAAAAGACAAGGGCGGCAUUUCUCUAAUCAAUUAUGUGGUUUCUCAUAAGAGUUCAUACCUGAUAAUGGUCCACCCUGUUUCAGUCAAUAUACCUUAAAUAGUUCCCACCAUCUUUUUUUCUCUGUGUCUCUCUCUCUGAAAUCUGACCAAAAGGCUGAGGGAGGCGGACUCCCAAUUCCACUCCUUAAAGCAUCACCAACCCAAUGCUCUAUUUUAGAGUAUCAAAAUAAUAUAUUUUAUUCAAAAAGUGGUUAUAGUGCAUGUUUUUAUUCAUCCAAAUUCCAACCACAAAACUCUAUUUCUAUCUCUAUAUUUCAAAAAACUAACUUGAAGCUCAAUACUUCUACACUUUCCCUUCAAAAUUUAAAUUGUUAAUUUUUAAAAUUUUAUUAAAUAUAUUUAAUUUUAGUCUCAUUUUAAAGGGUAAUGUGAAUAUCUUUUAAACAGUAUAAAUUUUAUAAAAAUAAAUUGCCAAUAAAAGUUACAUGUAUUUGAAAAUCAAAAUUGCCAUCCUUUCAAAUAGAGUAUUACCCUCACAUAUUUUUUUUCAUACUCUAUAUUUAGAAGAUCAACUUCACAUCCUCUAAAAUAGAGUUGCUUUUAAAUGAUGGGUUGGAGCACGCACAUGCUCUAAAAUGAAGAUUUAAAGUGGGUUGGAGAUUCUAUUAGCAAGGAGGAUGCUCGGAGCUAUAGCUGCCCAGCCCGAACGGCAAGAAUACUGCACAGCUUGGACUGCCAGACUGGCCCACUCCAUAACCGGGCUAGGACCAACUCGAACGAGGUCAUCCCGAAUCGGCCCG
This 1437-nucleotide long non-coding RNA is filed under the name Actinidia chinensis (golden kiwifruit). RNAcentral describes it as "long non-coding RNA (ACHI_LNC000823)". The record is from RNAcentral. Lineage: Eukaryota; Viridiplantae; Streptophyta; Magnoliopsida; Ericales; Actinidiaceae.